GAACCAACAGAGGCAUAUCCUGUUCAACCAUCUCCUCAAGGACAGGUAGACACUUCCCAAAAAGAUCUGUAACACCAUCUUGGGAAUUGGUUGUAGCACCAGCAGGAUACAAUUUUACAGCAUAAACGGCCCCACUUCUUCUUGCAAGCUUGAUUUCGUUGGGGCUCAUUGUAUCUGUCAAAUAAAGGGUCAUAAGAGGAACGAAGUUGCUAUUGGACGGUAAUGCUUUCAAGAUAGAAUCUCGAUAAGCCACAGCGGCAGCUGUGGUAGUGAUUGGUGGCUUCAAAUUUGGCAUCACAAUAGCCCUCCCAAAGUUACUUGCACUAUGAGGGAGAACGGCUUUUAAAAG
Molecule: unclassified non-coding RNA, 349 nt
Filed under: Hevea brasiliensis (rubber tree)
Lineage: Eukaryota; Viridiplantae; Streptophyta; Magnoliopsida; Malpighiales; Euphorbiaceae
Source: RNAcentral